RNAcentral lists this long non-coding RNA (407 nucleotides) under Lathyrus oleraceus (garden pea). RNAcentral's name for it is "Pisum sativum (pea) long non-coding RNA (PSAT_LNC042180)". Lineage: Eukaryota; Viridiplantae; Streptophyta; Magnoliopsida; Fabales; Fabaceae. The record is from RNAcentral.
AAACUAGGUCAAAAAUAAAUCCAAAAUAAAUUGAAAAUGGGAAAUAAAAUUCCAAUAAAAGGUCAGGUUGACCAUGAGACAUUGGUCAACCCUCAUCCCAAAAAUCAUAAAUUAAAAAUAAUUCUAAGUCAUGAAAAUAAAAUAAAUGAAAAAAUGUGUGUUAAAAUGGACUAUUUAAAAUAAAUAAUUAAAAUAAAAUAUUAACAUUAAAUAAAAUAUAAAAAUAAAAAUUAAAUAAAUUAAAUAAAACAUUAAGGAAAGUAAAAAGUAAUUUUUGAUGUUUUUAUGAACAAAUAGAAUAUUUUUUAUUUAAUUAAACAAAACAGAAAAUAAGAAUUAAAAAAAUGAAAAUAAAAUGAAUGGAAAUAAAAUAAAGUGAAAUGGGCCAGAUGGGGGUGGUGCGAACA